UAUGCUCCGAUGGGCUAGUGGAGGUGAUCUGGGGUGUACGUCACUGAACUGGUCUUUUUGUACCCUUCCUUGAGUGCGUGUGACGUAACCUCAGUAGUGAACGCGGCGCGGCCUCGAGCGAGUACGACUCCCGUCUGAUGCCCGUCCGCCCGUCCACUCAGCAGCUAUAGCAGCGCAUGCUCUCGCACACUCCCAUCCGAUGCACACCCGCCCGUCCACUCGGCGGCUAUAACAGCGCAUGCUCUCUCGCACUCCCCAUCCGACGCCCGCCCGCCCGUCCGCUCGUAACUACGUUGGCUUCUUUGAGCGACUGUAUAUAAUCUCUCCAUUGUUACAAAGGGCAACGUUGCGUGCCCGUAAACACGAUCAUUAAAUGAUAUGGGGCAUUAUAUACCCGUUUCGUAAAAGGGGAGGUGUAGGUGAGUGCAAAGGGGAGGGGUAUCGAGUGUUAGAAGAGAGAGAAACCCUAACAAGAACUCUCUUCCCCUCUUCCUUAACGUACCCUUUAACUAAUAACCGAAACUAAGAAGAAAGGGGGUUGUUAUAAAGAUCAAGGAUCAGUCUAGACCACUUUAGCACUUCCACUCUGACGUUAAAAAUGGGAUAGUACACACGGUGCUAAACGACGGGGGAAGAGACAAAUAAACAAGAACACUAAUCUUGAACGAUCGUACUUGCGUAGAUCACGAAGAAAAGUAAACCGAAGAAAAAAAAUGAACUAACCUUCGAUGUUGGAAGGUCUAGACUUCUUUGGAGAAUGAUCUCAUUAUUAGAUCGUCAUGAAACGUAUAUACACACGUGCGUACAUUAGAAUUUAGACCGUAUCUUGUUAGAGAGAUAAUAACCAAGAUGACUGAUGUAUAUGCAUGUAGAGUGAACAAAGAAUAUGUAAAUAAAGUAGAUUAUAGGUCUACAUAUGCCUUAGACAGGUAAUACAAUAGUUCUUUGCUGCCUGCAAUCCACAAGAUCGACAUUACAACCGGUAACAGGCCACCGCAGCAGCUGCAUCUGUAAUGUUAGAAUCUUACAGAGCUUCUUUCAUACCCGGUAACCAACUAUCUCUAGACCUCUCCGUUUUUUUCAACUUACUGGACAUGUUAAGUUGGCUAUUUUUAACGUAGUCAGUUGAGGCCUGCUGCCCCAGCGACGCGUCACCCAAACUACUACACUUGUUUGUUCAUUACGAGAGGGUUAGAUGAGAUCUACCGAAUAGCCGGUUACUAGCACCUUAAGAGAGAUUUGGCUAAGUCAAGAUGCUGUUCAACUUCCUUAAUAAAUCACCGAGCAGCCGUCUACCGAGAAAAUACGUUCUGGGAAAGAGACGUCGACUUUGACUGUUACUACUAUUCCAUUUUCUACUGUACUACUUACUAUACAGGUGGAAACUACUUCGGUUCCCAGGUUGUCCAGUACUGAGCCUAUUUAAUCUAUGUCUAUCACUACUAACACUUCGCCACCGACGAGAACGACGUUGACUAUCAGUUCAAAGGAGCAGGUUACAACGCCGAGAUUUCGGAUUGUUCUUUUCAAAGUUUUUUUCACGUUUCGGUUUAUGAGACGGUGGUGGUGUUUUACUAUUUCGAUUUUCCAGUUUCGGUUCUAGUAGAGUUCGUAGUGUUCUACUGUGAUUAUACCUACACGACGAGUGUUCAUGAAACUAUCCGUAUGCUCUUUGAGAACGUUCAGGUCAUGUCUGACAUCGGGGUUUCCUGGGUUUACGAGGAAAUACCCUGUACGAGUUCUUCUAAGGCAACGGUGGACUACUCUCCUACAGCCAGCCCUACGUAGAUACGUUUGGUCUUAAACGUCAGGUAGCUCCAAAAGAACAGUCGUACCCAGUUCUUAUGGACCUCGUAACCCACAUAUGUAUGAAUAGACUGUUAAUAGGACGACCGUUUGCACAGCCGCUACUAGAACAACCAUUGGAACCUUUGUUUCUAGGACGAUCAUUGGAACCGCUACUAGGACGACAAUUGAGAUCGGGAAAGACUCAUUCUAACUAACCACCAGAUGGUAUAACAACCUAGGAAAACCAACGUUUUGUGAUCAAAGAUUCAUCAAUUACUGAUCGAAAACCGAUACGUGUUGACUACAGAUUCAUUACCGAUUACCACCAUAAUAAAACGAUGUCGGAAGACGAAUCAAAGGUUCAUCAUAGUCGUACGUACUAUACUAAUAAUCUACGAUUACACUUUCAACACAACGAAAGACUGAACCUAUUCAAAGAUCCAUCAUAAUACUACUUAUGUAUUAAUCUGAAGACCAAUACAAUUAGGGUGUUCCUAUUAAACACAUAGAGAACGUAAGGUCUACACGACCUGUUACUCAUAAUUAGCUUACAUUACGUGACACCAAUAAGUUGUCGUUACAACAACACAUAGCAGUCUCAAUAUUUUAGUAAACGGAAGUC
This 2410-nucleotide ribosomal RNA is filed under the name Triticum aestivum (bread wheat). RNAcentral describes it as "partial small subunit ribosomal RNA". Lineage: Eukaryota; Viridiplantae; Streptophyta; Magnoliopsida; Poales; Poaceae. The record is from RNAcentral.